GAUGAAGAACGUAGCGAAAUGCGAUAAGUAAUGCGAAUUGCAGAAUUCAGUGAGUCAUCGAAUCUUUGAACGCACAUUGCGCCCGCCAGUAUUCUGGCGGGCAUGCCUGUUCGAGCGUCAUUUCAACCCUCAAGCUCAGCUUGGUGUUGGGACUCGCGGUAACCCGCGUUCCCCAAAUCGAUUGGCGGUCACGUCGAGCUUCCAUAGCGUAGUAAUCAUACACCUCGUUACUGGUAAUCGUCGCGGCCACGCCGUAAAACCCCAACUUCUGAAUGUUGACCUCGGAUCAGGUAGGAAUACCCGCUGAACUUAAGCAUAUCAAUAAGCGGAGGA
Molecule: unclassified non-coding RNA, 333 nt
Filed under: soil metagenome
Description: partial contains 5.8S ribosomal RNA, internal transcribed spacer 2, and large subunit ribosomal RNA
Rfam family: 5.8S ribosomal RNA (bases 1-120)
Source: RNAcentral